Mercurialis annua (annual mercury) is the source of this 624-nucleotide long non-coding RNA. RefSeq lists it as uncharacterized. Lineage: Eukaryota; Viridiplantae; Streptophyta; Magnoliopsida; Malpighiales; Euphorbiaceae. The record is from RefSeq and is a predicted model, not a curated record. The transcript has 2 exons.
UUUCCUACCUACCCGUGUCAGCUAAUUACUUUUAUACCUUAUCUUAUUUGUUUUUAUACCUAAAAAUUACUCCAUGUGUUUUCAUUGUAACAACCUUCUUCUUCCUCAUCAAAACUUUCAGCCCAUCCUCUCUUUUUGUUAGAUUCAAAUUCUUUCAAAUUUCACGAAUUCUUUCUUCAAUAUUCUGUCAGAUCCUCUCGAGUUACUACCUCAUUAUUCGAAUUCAUACAUUACGAUUAACAAAAACUGCGGAUUCAGCAAAAAAACGGUAAUGAAAUCAUGCACAAUGCAAUACAAGUUAAAAUGCGUUGAUGAAGAAUGUCAACUGAAUAUAUAUGCUUCAAAGAUAGGUCUCACAAAAUCAUUUGUGAUCCGCAAUUGCUUGAAAUCCAUACUUGCCGUUUGGAAAAUAGGAUGGGCAGUCAAUGUCAAGUUAGUUCAACCGUCAUUGCAAAUAUUAUAAAACAUAAGUUCAUGGAUGUGAAGACGAAUUAUACACCAAAUGACAUUAGGCAGGACAUGAAAAAUGAUUACAGUGUUGGUAUUGACUAUUGGAAAGUUUGGAUAUGUAGAGGAAAAACUAUAGAUCUAGUAAGAGGAACAUCACAAAAAUCAUAUGCACAA